CACCAGCCCCUCGAGUGGUGGGGAUGAUUAUUUGGCCUAAAGCGUCCGUAGCCGGCCGGGUAAGUCUCCCGUUAAAUCCAGCGUCUCAAGCGUUGGACUGCGGGAGAUACUGUCUGGCUAGAGAGUGGGAGAGGUGUACGGUAUUCUGGGGGUAGGGGCGAAAUCCUUUGAUCCCCGGAGGACCACCAGUGGCGAAGGCUGUACACUAGAACACGUCUGACGGUCAGGGACGAAAGCUGGGGUAGCGAACCGGAUUAGAUACCCGGGUAGUCCCAGCCGUAAAACGAUGCACGCUAGGUGUUGGGGCGGCCACGAGCCGCCCCAGUGCCGCAGGGAAGCCGUUAAAGCGUGCCGCCUGGGGAGUACGGCCGCAAGGCUGAAACUUAAAGGAAUUGGCGGGGGAGCACCACCAGGCGUGAAGCCUGCGGUUU
Molecule: ribosomal RNA, 431 nt
Filed under: uncultured archaeon
Lineage: Archaea
Description: bacterial SSU rRNA
Rfam family: Archaeal small subunit ribosomal RNA
Source: RNAcentral